Small nucleolar RNA from Ipomoea nil (Japanese morning glory), 114 nucleotides. It matches the Rfam family "Small nucleolar RNA snoR104". The record is from Rfam. NCBI's taxonomy places the organism in Eukaryota, Viridiplantae, Streptophyta, Magnoliopsida, Solanales, Convolvulaceae.
GGGGAGCAUCUAGAAAUUGGGAUGUUGCCUGAUACAAUCUUCCUAAAUUAAACCUCAAUUUUCAGCUUGUUGUACACGAGCUAGUUCUUCAAGUAUUUGCAUUGAGGGACAUAC